UGUAUUUAUUAGAUAAAAAACCAAUGCCCUUCGGGGCUUUUUGGUGAUUCAUGAUAACUUUACGGAUCGCAUAGCCUUGCGCUGGCGACGGUUCAUUCAAAUUUCUGCCCUAUCAACUUUCGAUGGUAAGGUAUUGGCUUACCAUGGUUUCAACGGGUAACGGGGAAUUAGGGUUCGAUUCCGGAGAGGGAGCCUGAGAAACGGCUACCACAUCCAAGGAAGGCAGCAGGCGCGCAAAUUACCCAAUCCCGACACGGGGAGGUAGUGACAAUAAAUACUGAUACAGGGCUCUUUUGGGUCUUGUAAUUGGAAUGAGUACAAUUUAAACCUCUUAACGAGGAACAAUUGGAGGGCAAGUCUGGUGCCAGCAGCCGCGGUAAUUCCAGCUCCAAUAGCGUAUAUUAAAGUUGUUGCAGUUAAAAAGCUCGUAGUUGAAACUUGGGCCUGGCUGGCGGGUCCGCCUCACCGCGUGCACUCGUCCGGCCGGGCCUUCCUUCUGAAGAACCUCAUGCCCUUCACUGGGCGUGCUGGGGAACCAGG
This 540-nucleotide ribosomal RNA is filed under the name uncultured eukaryote. Its description in RNAcentral is "SSU rRNA". It matches the Rfam family "Eukaryotic small subunit ribosomal RNA", at positions 202 to 746 of the family's 1831-position model. The record is from RNAcentral.